RNAcentral lists this ribosomal RNA (648 nucleotides) under uncultured bacterium. RNAcentral describes it as "bacterial SSU rRNA". It matches the Rfam family "Bacterial small subunit ribosomal RNA", at positions 143 to 807 of the family's 1533-position model. The record is from RNAcentral.
ACAACAGUUGGAAACGACUGCUAAUACCGCAUAAGCCCACGGUACCGCAUGGCACUGAGGGAAAAGGAUUUAUUCGCUUCAGGAUGGACUCGCGUCCAAUUAGCUAGUUGGUGAGGUAACGGCCCACCAAGGCGACGAUUGGUAGCCGGACUGAGAGGUUGAACGGCCACAUUGGGACUGAGACACGGCCCAGACUCCUACGGGAGGCAGCAGUGGGGGAUAUUGCACAAUGGGGGAAACCCUGAUGCAGCGACGCCGCGUGGAGGAAGAAGGUUUUCGGAUUGUAAACUCCUGUCGUUAGGGACGAUAAUGACGGUACCUAACAAGAAAGCACCGGCUAACUACGUGCCAGCAGCCGCGGUAAAACGUAGGGUGCAAGCGUUGUCCGGAAUUACUGGGUGUAAAGGGAGCGCAGGCGGACCGGCAAGUUGGAAGUGAAAUCCAUGGGCUCAACCCGUGAAUUGCUUUCAAAACUGCUGGCCUUGAGUAGUGCAGAGGUAGGUGGAAUUCCCGGUGUAGCGGUGGAAUGCGUAGAUAUCGGGAGGAACACCAGUGGCGAAGGCGACCUACUGGGCACCAACUGACGCUGAGGCUCGAAAGCAUGGGUAGCAAACAGGAUUAGAUACCCUGGUAGUCCAUGCCGUAAAC